This 585-nucleotide ribosomal RNA is filed under the name uncultured bacterium. Its description in RNAcentral is "partial 16S ribosomal RNA". It matches the Rfam family "Bacterial small subunit ribosomal RNA", at positions 355 to 1375 of the family's 1533-position model. The record is from RNAcentral.
UGGGGAAUUUUGGACAAUGGGCGAAAGCCUGAUCCAGCAAUGCCGCGUGUGUGAAGAAGGCCUUCGGGUUGUAAAGCACUUUUGUCCGGAAAGAAAUCCUUGGCUCUAAUACAGUCGGGGGAUGACGGUACCGGAAGAAUAAGCACCGGCUAACUACGUGCCGGCAGCCGCGGUAAUACGUAGGGUGCAAGCGUUAAUCGGAAUUACUGGGCGUAAAGCGUGCGCAGGCGGUUUGCUAAGACCGAUGUGAAAUCCCCGGGCUCAACCUGGGAACUGCAUUGGUGACUGGCAGGCUAGAGUAUGGCAGAGGGGGGUAGAAUUCCACGUGUAGCAGUGAAAUGCGUAGAGAUGUGGAGGAAUACCGAUGGCGAAGGCAGCCCCCUGGGCCAAUACUGACGCUCAUGCACGAAAGCGUGGGGAGCAAACAGGAUUAGAUACCCUGGUAGUCCACGCCCUAAACGAUGUCAACUAGUUGUUGGGGAUUCAUUUCCUUAGUAACGUAGCUAACGCGUGAAGUUGACCGCCUGGGGAGUACGGUCGCAAGAUUAAAACUCAAAGGAAUUGACGGGGUCAUAGCUGUUUCCU